This is a long non-coding RNA of Anopheles stephensi (Asian malaria mosquito), 1144 nucleotides long. RefSeq lists it as uncharacterized. The record is from RefSeq and is a predicted model, not a curated record. The transcript is spliced from 2 exons. NCBI's taxonomy places the organism in Eukaryota, Metazoa, Arthropoda, Insecta, Diptera, Culicidae.
GUUCUUCGACGGCCAACCUACAGCACUGCCUGGCAGACACACAGCGAGCGGAGGCGAACAAGUCCAGUGGACAAAAAAUAAAUAAUAAACGGUUGCUACGAUUUUACAUCACUUCCAAUCGCUUCCUUUGAAGGCAAACGGUUCACAGUGCACGGGCGCCGUACCACGAUAUCCUGCGCUAUCCGGAAGUGAUCAGCAACUGCUGGGGCCAACAGACGGAAUGUCGGAAUGAAUGAAUUACCCGCGAGGGUGUGCGUAUCUGGAAGGAUGCGGCGGAGGCGGGGGGACAAGGUGAGCAACGAUGGGGUGGUUCAACGACCAGCUUCCACACACCACAGAGCACAGGAUCGAUGCGAACGGUUUCGAGCAAAAUCGGCCGACAAGGGGUGUCCACACAGCUUUCGAUAAUUCCCAGACUCCCAGGUAGCCUCCUGUGCAGGAUGAUUUCGGUGCUGUAAGUGUGGCAAGCGGGCUGUGUUUUCGUUAAACAACCGAUUUACCCUGAUCGCGACUAGUUUCCGUGGACUCGCGACGACGAGACGCACAUCCGCACGCUUUGAGUGUCAAAAGAGAACUUAUUUUUUAUGCGCCUCCAAUGCUUUUCUCUAUGCUGCUCUCCGUACGUACGGAACAGGCACUGAUUUCACACACACCUUCGUGCAGGCAAGGUUGGUUAGGCGGUGGUCUCUUCCUAGCUGCAUCGAAGUGUGAUUCUUCGGAACAGUUGGUGAAGCAAUCGCAAUUAUUGGUCAAAAUUUUGAACUGAGUUUCUUUUUAAUGUGUAAUUUUUGUAACGAGACUUUAUUUUGAAUUUUAAAGGACAUUUCCUUACCAUAUUGUUCUUUAGAGUGCAAAUCCAAAACAAAAACCACGUGCUUUUAGCCUCUAAAUGUAAAAUUUAUUCAUUGUAGUUCAAGUCUUUUGAACAUAUCAAUAUCACUAGCAAACUAUUAGCUAGCUCCUUGGUAAUUCCAGUCCACUGUUGUAUGGCCGUUAUGCAUGGCCAGAGACUCUCGUUUUAAGUAGAAACACUCUGCCUGGGAGCGGUCGUCACACUCCCUGGGCCAGGAUAGCUUUCACCCUGGAGUUCGAUGUAGUUGGAGUUUCUAAAAUAUAAGAACAAAGCAAACGAUUAAUAUCAAAA